AGCGAACGCUGGCGGCAGGCCUAACACAUGCAAGUCGAACGAACCUUUCGGGGUUAGUGGCGGACGGGUGAGUAACACGUGGGAACGUGCCUUUAGGUUCGGAAUAACUCAGGGAAACUUGUGCUAAUACCGAAUGUGCCCUUCGGGGGAAAGAUUUAUCCCCUUUAGAGCGGCCCGCGUCUGAUUAGCUAGUUGGUUGAGGUAAUGGCUCACCAAGGCGACGAUCAGUAGCUGGUCUGAGAGGAUGAUCAGCCACAUUGGGACUGAGACACGGCCCAAACUCCUACGGGAGGCAGCAGUGGGGAAUCUUGCGCAAUGGGCGAAAGCCUGACGCAGCCAUGCCGCGUGAAUGAUGAAGGUCUUAGGAUUGUAAAAUUCUUUCACCGGGGACGAUAAUGACGGUACCCGGAGAAGAAGCCCCGGCUAACUUCGUG
This 434-nucleotide ribosomal RNA is filed under the name uncultured bacterium. RNAcentral describes it as "partial 16S ribosomal RNA". It matches the Rfam family "Bacterial small subunit ribosomal RNA", at positions 29 to 507 of the family's 1533-position model. The record is from RNAcentral.